UGCCGGUCCCCCCGCGACGCUAAGCUGUGAACCCCGUCAGGCCCGGAAGGGAGCAGCGGCAGCAGUGAUGCGGGCGCCGGGGUGUGGCUGGUGCAG
This 96-nucleotide signal recognition particle RNA is filed under the name Gammaproteobacteria bacterium. Its description in RNAcentral is "signal recognition particle sRNA small type". It matches the Rfam family "Bacterial small signal recognition particle RNA". Rfam says of the family: The signal recognition particle (SRP) is a universally conserved ribonucleoprotein involved in the co-translational targeting of proteins to membranes. Archaeal SRP consists of a 7S RNA and homologues of the eukaryotic SRP19 and SRP54 proteins. The record is from RNAcentral. Lineage: Bacteria; Pseudomonadati; Pseudomonadota; Gammaproteobacteria. RNAcentral also lists the same sequence under 1 other name.